AGUGUUUGAUGGUGUUUUUGUUUGAGGGAUUUGAUUGGAUUUCUUCGUUGCGAAACUCGGUGAAUUUUGUAAUUGGAAAGAAGCUUGUUCUCUGUGUGAGUAGGGUUUUACGAUGUUGUCAAGUAGUAGGUGAUUGACUUAAAUCGUUGUCAAGUGGUACGUGAUUGACUUAAACAUAGUGAUUUUGUGAUUGACUUAAAUAUGUUAAUUUGCUAUCUAUUCUCUAACUACAAGAGUAAAAAUUGAUUGGUAAAGCAUCUAUUUGUUAAUCGCACAAUUCACAAAUGUUUCUUUGGAAAUGAGAACAGGAAAAUCAGUUCCAGCUGCAAUUCCUCAGUUUAAGAUACUGAUUGUAGACACAACGGAGUAUGCAAUUUAAAAUUUCCAUUUUUGGUGUCCGUUGUUCCGUGGAGUAAUUGUUUCAUAAAUUUUGAAGCUUACAGCUUUAUAUGUUUGUUGAUCUGAGCGUGCUUAAGUACAUGAAAACUGAUUUCUUGCCUUUGGAAGUACAGACUCAGACAUGACAUGACCCGGCAAAAUGGUGAAAACAAAAAAGACAUGAAAUUCAGUGGCACAUUUUGCAAAAUAUAUGAUUCUUAUAAUUAUAUAUGCACCACCCAUACGUACAUAAGAAACUCAACAUGCAUGAUACUUAUAAUUAAUCUUGUUCAAACAGCAAACAUACCGACUAUAUGU
This 696-nucleotide unclassified non-coding RNA is filed under the name Hevea brasiliensis (rubber tree). The record is from RNAcentral. Lineage: Eukaryota; Viridiplantae; Streptophyta; Magnoliopsida; Malpighiales; Euphorbiaceae.